This 466-nucleotide ribosomal RNA is filed under the name uncultured bacterium. RNAcentral's name for it is "partial 16S ribosomal RNA". It matches the Rfam family "Bacterial small subunit ribosomal RNA", at positions 339 to 795 of the family's 1533-position model. The record is from RNAcentral.
CUACGGGGCGCUCCAGUGGGGAAUAUUGGACAAUGGGGGAAACCCUGAUCCAGCAAUGCCGCGUGUGUGAAGAAGGCCUGCGGGUUGUAAAGCACUUUCGGUUGGGAGGACUGCUUCUAGCACUAAUAUUGUUGGAAGUUGACGCUACCUUCAGAAGAAGCACCGGCUAACUCCGUGCCAGCAGCCGCGGUAAUACGGAGGGUGGCAAGCGUUAAUCGGAAUUACUGGGCGUAAAGCGCGCGUAGGCGGCUAGAUCAGUCGGGUGUGAAAGCCCCGGGCUUAACCUGGGAACUGCAUCCGAUACUGUCUAGCUUGAGUACAGGAGGGGAGAGUGGAAUUCCACAUGUAGCGGUGAAAUGCGUAGAUAUGUGGAGGAACACCAAUGGCGAAGGCACCUCUCUGGCCUGAUACUGACGCUGAGGUGCGAAAGCGUGGGGAGCAAACAGGAUUAGAUACCCGAGUAGUC